Long non-coding RNA from Gavialis gangeticus (Gharial), 600 nucleotides. RefSeq lists it as uncharacterized. The transcript is spliced from 2 exons. NCBI's taxonomy places the organism in Eukaryota, Metazoa, Chordata, Crocodylia, Gavialidae. The record is from RefSeq and is a predicted model, not a curated record.
UCUUCCAUCUAUGAUGGCCAGGACCAAGCUGUGGCUCAGUCAAGGUGCACACUCAAGACAAAGGCAGAAGAAGUGCUUCAAAGAUGUCCUCAUGACUAACUUGAAAAAAAUGCAAAAUUGACAUCAACUUAUGAGAAACUAUCGCCUAGAACUGCCCCAAAUGGUGGACGAGUCUUCUACAAGCAUCUUAGUACUUUGAAACCUCAAGAUGGGAAGAAGAGACAGAAAAGCAGGAGUGGCAGAAACAGCAUGUCACAGACUGAUCCAAAAAUCCAAAGCCACCCACCCACCACAGAAAUGUGCUCAAGUUGCAGUGGAACCUGUCAAUCCUAGAUUGGCCUUGUCAGCUACCUUCAGAACCAAAAAUAAGGCAAUCACAGAAGACAAUCAUUCUUGACUGUGAGGGUUUGCCAGUGAUGAUGAUCACUAGAAUGACAAUAAAUAUGCCUGCUGGAUGUGGAGGUAGAGCAAUACUUGUUCUUGAGCUUAAUUGACAAAACUCCUCACGAAAACAAGCUAUGUAUCUCAUCAAACUAUUCUUGCAAGUGAAAUGUUAAGUGAAAAAAGGUAUAAAUAAAUAAAUAAACCCACCUAAAUUUC